CUCAUUGCGAAUCAAAUCAAGCAUGCUCGAAUGAGACGACUCGUGAUUCAGUUGAGUCAGUGAAUCCGAGUCAGACCAAUUAAGUCGGAUUCACGAAGACUAGUUUUGUGAACCGAUUCAACCAAUUCAUCACAGAGAUCCGACUCAAAAGAAUGAUUCGAUGCCGAAUCGGACGUCGCUACUAGGUAGGCAGCUCGCUGUGUUUUGAAACGCAGCCGGUGUCUGAGCAUGUGCUGUUACUGCUGCAGUGAAGUAAAAUAUGUCAGUUAUCGCUGGACAGCAGCAAGAGCCGGCUACAAAUGUACUCUGAGAGGCAACCGGUGUAACGAUUUUCUGUUUAAUUCUUCCGUUUAUCACCAAAAUGAGGCCCGGCUUCUCCACAUCUACAGCGGCGGAAGAAUAAUACGAUGGCGUCGUAUCACCACUACAGAUCCCGGGUUUGGCGCCUUUACCAACAAGUUGAAGUGACAGCACGGCACCUAUGAGCUCACCUGACUAUGGUGGGUGUGGUCUGCUAAGAUGCCACUGCACCUAUAAAAACACCUAGACUCCGCCUCCAGCAGCAACACAA
This 571-nucleotide long non-coding RNA is filed under the name Sinocyclocheilus anshuiensis. RNAcentral describes it as "lncRNA (ENSSANG00000007827.1)". Lineage: Eukaryota; Metazoa; Chordata; Actinopteri; Cypriniformes; Cyprinidae. The record is from RNAcentral.